CUGGAGGUGAUGCAGAUAAUGAGAUUGAAGUUGUCUGAUGAUGUUUCCGUAUUCAUACUGUCUGAUCCAG
Rana temporaria (common frog) is the source of this 70-nucleotide small nucleolar RNA. NCBI's taxonomy places the organism in Eukaryota, Metazoa, Chordata, Amphibia, Anura, Ranidae. The record is from RefSeq and is a predicted model, not a curated record.